AGUGAACGCUGGCGGUAGGCCUAACACAUGCAAGUCGAACGGCAGCACAGUAAGAGCUUGCUCUUACGGGUGGCGAGUGGCGGACGGGUGAGGAAUACAUCGGAAUCUACUUUUUCGUGGGGGAUAACGUAGGGAAACUUACGCUAAUACCGCAUACGACCUACGGGUGAAAGCAGGGGAUCUUCGGACCUUGCGCGAUUGAAUGAGCCGAUGUCGGAUUAGCUAGUUGGCGGGGUAAAGGCCCACCAAGGCGACGCUCCGUAGCGGGUCUGAGAGGAUGAGAGGAGAAACUGGAACAGAAAAAGGGUACAGACUAGAACGGGAGGCAGCAGUAGGGAAUGGGGGGAGAAGGGCGGAAGCCGGAAGGGGCAAUGUGUGGGGAGUGAUGAAGGUCUGCGGAUAGUAAAGCGGUGUUAUGAGGGAAGAAAAAAUGUGGAAGUAACGAUGGAGGUCUUGACGGGACCGAAUGAGAAAGCCACGGCUAAGUACGUG
RNAcentral lists this ribosomal RNA (492 nucleotides) under uncultured bacterium. RNAcentral's name for it is "partial 16S ribosomal RNA". It matches the Rfam family "Bacterial small subunit ribosomal RNA", at positions 30 to 507 of the family's 1533-position model. The record is from RNAcentral.